RNAcentral lists this ribosomal RNA (358 nucleotides) under Escherichia coli. RNAcentral describes it as "partial 23S ribosomal RNA". It matches the Rfam family "Bacterial large subunit ribosomal RNA", at positions 575 to 934 of the family's 2925-position model. Lineage: Bacteria; Pseudomonadati; Pseudomonadota; Gammaproteobacteria; Enterobacterales; Enterobacteriaceae. The record is from RNAcentral.
GGGAGCACGCUUAGGCGUGUGACUGCGUACCUUUUGUAUAAUGGGUCAGCGACUUAUAUUCUGUAGCAAGGUUAACCGAAUAGGGGAGCCGAAGGGAAACCGAGUCUUAACUGGGCGUUAAGUUGCAGGGUAUAGACCCGAAACCCGGUGAUCUAGCCAUGGGCAGGUUGAAGGUUGGGUAACACUAACUGGAGGACCGAACCGACUAAUGUUGAAAAAUUAGCGGAUGACUUGUGGCUGGGGGUGAAAGGCCAAUCAAACCGGGAGAUAGCUGGUUCUCCCCGAAAGCUAUUUAGGUAGCGCCUCGUGAAUUCAUCUCCGGGGGUAGAGCACUGUUUCGGCAAGGGGGUCAUCCCGA